GUCCCCGUAGCGCAACGGAUAGCGCGUUGGCCUCCGGAGCCAAAGGUUGCAGGUUCGAAUCCCGCCGGGGACG
This 73-nucleotide transfer RNA is filed under the name Phycisphaerae bacterium. RNAcentral's name for it is "tRNA-Arg". It matches the Rfam family "tRNA". From Rfam's summary of the family: Transfer RNA (tRNA) molecules are approximately 80 nucleotides in length. Their secondary structure includes four short double-helical elements and three loops (D, anti-codon, and T loops). Further hydrogen bonds mediate the characteristic L-shaped molecular structure. tRNAs have two regions of fundamental functional importance: the anti-codon, which is responsible for specific mRNA codon recognition, and the 3' end, to which the tRNAs corresponding amino acid is attached (by aminoacyl-tRNA synthetases). tRNAs cope with the degeneracy of the genetic code in two manners: having more than one tRNA (with a specific anti-codon) for a particular amino acid; and 'wobble' base-pairing, i.e. permitting non-standard base-pairing at the 3rd anti-codon position. The record is from RNAcentral. RNAcentral also lists the same sequence under 1 other name. Lineage: Bacteria; Pseudomonadati; Planctomycetota; Phycisphaerae.